UUCCGAUAAAGGCAAACCCGUCGAAAGGCGGGGACGCAAAGCCACGGGCCUAAAGAACCGGUUUUUAACCUGUUCAACGGCAGCCGGGUUACCGAA
Molecule: non-coding RNA, 96 nt
Filed under: Elusimicrobiota bacterium
Lineage: Bacteria; Pseudomonadati; Elusimicrobiota
Description: Elusimicrobia bacterium c-di-GMP sequence
Rfam family: c-di-GMP-I riboswitch aptamer
About the family: GEMM was predicted in a large-scale screen for bacterial structured RNA regulatory elements.
Source: RNAcentral